UACAGAGGGGGCAAGCGUUGUUCGGAAUUACUGGGCGUAAAGGGCGCGUAGGCGGCCUUCUAAGUCGAACGUGAAAUCCCCGGGCUCAACCCGGGAACUGCGUCCGAUACUGGAAGGCUUGAAUCCGGGAGAGGGAUGCGGAAUUCCAGGUGUAGCGGUGAAAUGCGUAGAUAUCUGGAGGAACACCGGUGGCGAAGGCGGCAUCCUGGACCGGUAUUGACGCUGAGGCGCGAAAGCUUGGGUAGCAAACGGG
RNAcentral lists this ribosomal RNA (253 nucleotides) under uncultured bacterium. RNAcentral's name for it is "partial 16S ribosomal RNA". It matches the Rfam family "Bacterial small subunit ribosomal RNA", at positions 524 to 776 of the family's 1533-position model. The record is from RNAcentral.